UGCAGUCGAGCGGUAGAGAGAAGCUUGCUUCCUCCUUGAGAGCGGCGGACGGGUGAGUAAUGCCUAGGAAUCUGCCUGGUAGUGGGGGAUAACGUUCGGAAACGGACGCUAAUACCGCAUACGUCCUACGGGAGAAAGCAGGGGACCUUCGGGCCUUGCGCUAUCAGAUGAGCCUAGGUCGGAUUAGCUAGUUGGUGAGGUAAUGGCUCACCAAGGCGACGAUCCGUAACUGGUCUGAGAGGAUGAUCAGUCACACUGGAACUGAGACACGGUCCAGACUCCUACGGGAGGCAGCAGUGGGGAAUAUUGGACAAUGGGCGAAAGCCUGAUCCAGCCAUGCCGCGUGUGUGAAGAAGGUCUUCGGAUUGUAAAGCACUUUAAGUUGGGAGGAAGGGUUGUAGAUUAAUACUCUGCAAUUUUGACGUUACCGACAGAAUAAGCACCGGCUAACUCUGUGCCAG
RNAcentral lists this ribosomal RNA (461 nucleotides) under Pseudomonas sp. RNAcentral's name for it is "bacterial SSU rRNA". It matches the Rfam family "Bacterial small subunit ribosomal RNA", at positions 56 to 511 of the family's 1533-position model. Lineage: Bacteria; Pseudomonadati; Pseudomonadota; Gammaproteobacteria; Pseudomonadales; Pseudomonadaceae. The record is from RNAcentral.